Molecule: ribosomal RNA, 406 nt
Filed under: uncultured bacterium
Lineage: Bacteria
Description: partial 16S ribosomal RNA
Rfam family: Bacterial small subunit ribosomal RNA
Source: RNAcentral
AUUGAACGCUGGCGGCAGGCCUAACACAUGCAAGUAGAACGAGUGGCGGACGGGUGAGUAAUGUCUGGGAAACUGCCUGAUGGAGGGGGAUAACUACUGGAAACGGUAGCUAAUACCGCAUACCAUCGGAUGUGCCCAUAUGGGAUUAGCUAGUAGGUGGGGUAAAGGCUCACCUAGGCGACGAUACCUAGCUGGUCUGAGAGGAUGACCAGCCACAUGGGAACUGAGACAGGGGCGAUAGUCCGACGGGAGGCAGCAGUGGGGAAUAUUGCAGAAUGGGGUCAAGCCUGAUGCAGACAUGCCGCGUGUAUGAAGAAGGCCUUCGGGUUGUAAAGUACUUUCAGCGGGGAGGCGUUACCCGCAGAAGAAGCACCGGCUAACUCCGUGCCAGCAGCCGCGGUAAUAC